GUCAAACCCAUAAACUCCGACAUAAAUUUAUCUUUUGCAGGAGAUAUUCAAUGACCAUGUAGCGAAUCUAGGCGACACAAUUCCUGUGGAGGGGACCAUAAUAAAACCUUAUACGACAUUUACCAAUGUACAUUAUAAUCGUUUUUACACUCUGAUUGCUCUUGACGAUGGAGGAUCCAGAGACAGAAGCAAUCAGUUCGUUUGGGGAUGCGUGGCCAACAUCCCCGGGCCGUUCAUAAGACGCGGAGACACCCUCGCGCCCUACGUCGCUCCCAACCCUAUACCCGGUAAAGGGGCGCACCGUUAUAUGACCUUCAUCUAUUUACAAAGACGACGUAUUUCCAUCACCACGGAUUUAGUGGCCAGUGUUUCCAAAAACAUACGGAACUUCAACAUCACAGAGUUCGUAUUGCGCUUGAAGCUCGGUGAUCCCAUCGCUGGCACCUUCUUUCUCUCCCGCCAAUCGUUGCCAAAGCCUACGUGCCAGAAACCAACCUGCCAGUACUCAGCGCCGAAGUGUAACUGUGAUUCCAUUGGCGUAGAUGUUUGCUGCCAGGGAGGCUGUA
This is a long non-coding RNA of Bicyclus anynana (squinting bush brown), 566 nucleotides long. RefSeq lists it as uncharacterized. The transcript has 3 exons. NCBI's taxonomy places the organism in Eukaryota, Metazoa, Arthropoda, Insecta, Lepidoptera, Nymphalidae. The record is from RefSeq and is a predicted model, not a curated record.